Molecule: ribosomal RNA, 422 nt
Filed under: uncultured bacterium
Lineage: Bacteria
Also listed under: 1 other name
Description: partial 16S ribosomal RNA
Rfam family: Bacterial small subunit ribosomal RNA
Source: RNAcentral
UAAGGAAUAUUGGUCAAUGCCCGGAAGGGUGAACCAGCCAUGCCGCGUGAAGGAUGACUGCCCUCUGGGUUGUAAACUUCUUUUGGAUGGGACGAAAAAACGGGAUUUAUCCUGGACUGACGGUACCAUCAGAAUAAGCACCGGCUAACUCCGUGCCAGCAGCCGCGGUAAUACGGAGGGUGCAAGCGUUAUCCGGAAUCACUGGGUUUAAAGGGUGCGUAGGCGGUUUUAUAAGUCAGGGGUGAAAGCAUGCAGCUUAACUGUAUAAUUGCCUUUGAUACUGUAAGACUUGAAUAAGGUUGAGGUUGGCGGAAUGUGACAUGUAGCGGUGAAAUGCUUAGAUAUGUCAUAGAACACCGAUUGCGAAGGCAGCUGACUGGGCCUUUAUUGACGCUGAGGCACGAAAGCGUGGGGAGCGAACA